GAUGAACGCUGGCGGCGUGCCUAAUACAUGCAAGUCGAGCGAACAGACGAGGAGCUUGCUCCUCUGACGUUAGCGGCGGACGGGUGAGUAACACGUGGAUAACCUACCUAUAAGACUGGGAUAACUUCGGGAAACCGGAGCUAAUACCGGAUAAUAUAUUGAACCGCAUGGUUCAAUAGUGAAAGACGGUUUUGCUGUCACUUAUAGAUGGAUCCGCGCCGCAUUAGCUAGUUGGUAAGGUAACGGCCUACCAAGGCAACGAUGCGUAGCCGACCUGAGAGGGUGAUCGGCCACACUGGAACUGAGACACGGUCCAGACUCCUACGGGAGGCAGCAGUGGGGAAUCUUCCGCAAAGGGCGAAAGCUUGACGGAGCAACGCCGCGUGAGUGAUGAAGGUCUUCGGAUCGUAAAACUCUGUUAUUAGGGAAGAACAAAUGUGUAAGUAACUAUGCACGUCUUGACGGUACCUAAUCAGAAAGCCACGGCUAACUACGUG
This 497-nucleotide ribosomal RNA is filed under the name uncultured bacterium. Its description in RNAcentral is "partial 16S ribosomal RNA". It matches the Rfam family "Bacterial small subunit ribosomal RNA", at positions 28 to 507 of the family's 1533-position model. The record is from RNAcentral.